GGUUGACCAGAUUUAUUCAUGACAGUGGGAACAAUGAAAGUGAAAACUCGAGGAAAAAGCUGAGUGAGCAUUUAAAAAUAAAACCUCGUAGAACUGUUUCACAUUUUAAAUCAAGUUUACUGACCUUCACUUGGUCAAUAAAACCAAAACAAGAUGUUGCUUUUAGUGACUCAAACCCUUCACUUGGUACUUUGGGAGGCACAUACUCUAUCUAAGGCCCAACCGAAAGUGAAGAUCACAGUCAAAUCUGCAGGUCUAAAGUAUUAUUGCUUUAAUUUCUGAAGCACAGUUCAGUUGGAAUCGAUACUGAGUUUAUUUACAAGGACAUUUUGUGUUUCUGCCUGGUUGAUAUAUUUAGCCACACGCUCAAAUCAGCAGCUGGACUGCUCAUGAUGUGGAAUCUGAAAGCUGUUCGAGCCAUGCAGGUGCUUAGAGAUGAUCAAAACAAGAAAUAAAAUUGCAUCCAUCUGAGGGAGGUCAAGCUGAAGCAACGUAUGCAAAACAUGAUAUGAUUCCCUACGAGAGAAACACAAAAACCUGGCAUGGAUUCCACCCCCCAUCCGACAAGGGAGACAAAAUGUGAUGCUGACGUUAACAUUUCCUCAGGGUUCUCUUCUCCACUCACGAAGCAGACAGUGAGAUCCUGCCCCUGCCACCACCCCUGUGCUCCCGGUGAACAUGCGACUCAGGAGUAAGUCCCAGUGCAAUGUCUGUCAGGUCCCAAAGUUCCACUGCGGGGAUGGUCACUGUUUGGACUGUGGGUGGCAACAAUGCUAGUUAGCCAGGGAUGGGGAGGGAGGGGUAAGAAAGAAUGGUGUUGCCUCUAUUGGGUUCAAGGGACCUAUAAAAUAAGGAUCUCCUCACCCUGUAGUCCAAGAAAUGAAAAGUGGCACCCUUCAAAUGGGGUCCCUUCCUCCACCCACCAGAGAAUUGUUACAAGAGGGUGGGAAGAAGCCGUUAAGUGGCCAUUAAUUACCUCAAUUGACCCAAAGGCAGCAGGGACAUCUCACACCUUCCUCACCAGAUGAUAAGUUAUGAUCUAUUAUCCUGCCCCAGAGGAUCAUGUCAUUCUGGGUCAUUACAUUGUUGAAUAUUUUACAUCCUUCCAUCUCAUUACCCUUCUCUAGUGCAACAUCUAUCUUAAUCAUUGAGAGGGUGACAACACAACUGCUUCCAGGUCUUUACCAUGAGUUCAGUGUAAUUGGCCACUCACAGCUCCCAGAGGACCACACCAUUCUGGUUAGGAGUUAGAAAGAUCACAAUAGUCAUCAGAAAAAUGCAUGGACUUAAAACAAUAUUGUAUUUUCCACAUUCCUAAAGCAAAAUUAUGUUGUCAUUAAAUCUGUCUCCGACAAAUUACAAAACCAUGUUUUCUAUACUUUAUAUAUUCUGACCAUUGAUGAAUAUAAUCUGAAGCCGUGUUCAUAUCCAUUAACCUAAGAUAGAUGUGAUCUCAAAUGGGUUGUAAAAUACCAAAAGUCUAAACCUGUGUCAGACUUGCAAAGACUUCACAGCAUUGUGGUAUUUUCUAAUCUUAUAUAAAAUGGUGUAAGCUUAUAAACUCAAUUUGAAAGUAAAGUUGUAAAGCUGCAAUGGUAAAUAUUUAUUUUAAAUCAAUAAUAGGGCUCCCGCCUGGUCGAUUUUCCUUAGCCCAGAUUUGACCUCUUCCAGGAAUCGAACCAUCUUCAAAGCUCUUAUUGCAAUAUCCUUCCUUCGCAAGUGUAGUAAGUGCAAGACAGUUCAAGGAAUGGGAUGAUUAAGGUUGGCUAGUCAGUUAUUUGGUGAACUUGGUCAUUUCAAAGGCUCAAAAUGGAAAUAACAACUAAUGACUUCUGACAGAUUUCAUCACCAUUUUGUAAAAUUGCCCUAUAAUCAUAAACUCAGCUGUUACUACAGUAAUUUACACUUGAUGGAAUAAAAUAAUUAGAUUAUUUUGUUUGGAUUAUGUACUUGUGCAAUGUACAUAUCUGCAUCCUUUGGAUAAUUUGUGAUAUUUUCUAUACAUUGGUGUAAGCACACUGAUUCAUGGGAAUGAUUGAAUUGCCACAGCGGAAGAGAUUAAUUGAAUUAAAAGCGUUUGGCUGCCUGUCUCUCUCUUGCAUCAGCAUGUUGUUCUUAUCAGUAAGCACAUUUGGUCUUGGGGCUAGCAAGCACAUUUUUAAUAAAAUGAAAGGGCAGUAGUACUGUUGAGUCAGUAUGUUUUCUACAAUCCAUGCUAUUGCUUAUAAAGGCACCCUCGACCCUCUCUCUGUUAUAUUCAGGCAGACUGGCUUAGUUUAUUGGCAGCACUGUAUACAGAAUGCAAUCAGUCUGGCUUAAAGAAGUGACUACACUGUGGAAGAGGAUUCUGAAGCUGGUAAUGAGAAUUGUCUCCUUCAAGCAGAUGCAAGAUGGAUAUUUGAGAAAUGACUCGACCACGGCGGUUGUAAGUUUUCCACAUUUGGCAACAAAACUGUGUGAAAAUCAAGUGGAAAACAUUGAAAACCAAAGAUCCUUGGGUACAUUUAGAGGAUGGCAAUUUCCACUUGGAACGUCAUUGAAAUUCAAGAAAACAAGAUACUGACUAAUAAAAGGAUCCAGGAACCAGAUGCCAUCUACUCAAAAUUCUCUUGCUCUGCCUGACGCAGUUUCCAUCCUAAUUUCACAUAU
Molecule: long non-coding RNA, 2649 nt
Organism: Hemiscyllium ocellatum (epaulette shark)
Lineage: Eukaryota; Metazoa; Chordata; Chondrichthyes; Orectolobiformes; Hemiscylliidae
Exons: 4
Source: RefSeq, a predicted model, not a curated record